CCGCAAUGGACGAAAGUCUGACGGAGCAACGCCGCGUGAGUGAUGACGGCCUUCGGGUUGUAAAGCUCUGUUAAUCGGGACGAAAGGCCUUCUUGCGAAUAGUGAGAAGGAUUGACGGUACCGGAAUAGAAAGCCACGGCUAACUACGUGCCAGCAGCCGCGGUAAUACGUAGGUGGCAAGCGUUGUCCGGAAUUAUUGGGCGUAAAGCGCGCGCAGGCGGAUAGGUCAGUCUGUCUUAAAAGUUCGGGGCUUAACCCCGUGAUGGGAUGGAAACUGCCAAUCUAGAGUAUCGGAGAGGAAAGUGGAAUUCCUAGUGUAGCGGUGAAAUGCGUAGAUAUUAGGAAGAACACCAGUGGCGAAGGCGACUUUCUGGACGAAAACUGACGCUGAGGCGCGAAAGCCAGGGGAGCGAACGGGAUUAGAUACCCCGGUAGUCCUGGCCGUAAACGAUGGGUACUAGGUGUAGGAGGUAUCGACCCCUUCUGUGCCGGAGUUAACGCAAUAAGUACCCCGCCUGGGGAGUACGACCGCAAGGUUGAAACUCAAAGGAAUUGACGGGGGCCCGCACAAGCGGUGGAGUAUGUGGUUUAAUUCGACGCAACGCGAAGAACCU
Molecule: ribosomal RNA, 614 nt
Filed under: Veillonella dispar
Lineage: Bacteria; Bacillati; Bacillota; Negativicutes; Veillonellales; Veillonellaceae
Description: bacterial SSU rRNA
Rfam family: Bacterial small subunit ribosomal RNA
Source: RNAcentral